RNAcentral lists this ribosomal RNA (505 nucleotides) under uncultured bacterium. RNAcentral describes it as "partial 16S ribosomal RNA". It matches the Rfam family "Bacterial small subunit ribosomal RNA", at positions 28 to 507 of the family's 1533-position model. The record is from RNAcentral.
GACGAACGCUGGCGGCGUGCCUAAUACAUGCAAGUAGAACGCACAGUUUAUACCGUAGCUUGCUACACCAUAGACUGUGAGUUGCGAACGGGUGAGUAACGCGUAGGUAACCUGCCUGGUAGCGGGGGAUAACUAUUGGAAACGAUAGCUAAUACCGCAUAAUAUUAAUUAUUGCAUGAUAAUUAAUUGAAAGGUGCAAUUGCACCACUACCAGAUGGACCUGCGUUGUAUUAGCUAGUAGGUGAGGUAACGGCUCACCUAGGCGACGAUACAUAGCCGACCUGAGAGGGUGAUCGGCCACACUGGGACUGAGACACGGCCCAGACUCCUACGGGAGGCAGCAGUAGGGAAUCUUCGGUAAUGGACGAAAGUCUGACCGAGCAACGCCGCGUGAGUGAAGAAGGUUUUCGGAUCGUAAAGCUCUGUUGUAAGAGAAGAACGGGUGUGAGAGUGGAAAGUUCACACUGUGACGGUAUCUUACCAGAAAGGGACGGCUAACUACGUG